UACAGAGGGGGCAAGCGUUGUUCGGAAUUACUGGGCGUAAAGGGCGCGUAGGCGGCCGCCUAAGUCAGACGUGAAAUCCCUCGGCUCAACCGGGGAACUGCGUCUGAUACUGGAUGGCUUGAAUUCGGGAGAGGGAUGCAGAAUUCCAGGUGUAGCGGUGAAAUGCGUAGAUAUCUGGAGGAAUACCGGUGGCGAAGGCGGCAUCCUGGACCGAGAUUGACACUGAGGAGCGAAAGCUAGGGGAGCAAACGGG
Molecule: ribosomal RNA, 253 nt
Filed under: uncultured bacterium
Lineage: Bacteria
Description: partial 16S ribosomal RNA
Rfam family: Bacterial small subunit ribosomal RNA
Source: RNAcentral